CUACGGGUUGCAGCAGUGGGGAAUAUUGCACAAUGGAGGAAACUCUGAUGCAGCAACGCCGCGUGGAGGAUGACGCAUUUCGGUGUGUAAACUCCUUUUAUAUGUCAAGAAAAUGACGGUAGCAUAUGAAUAAGCACCGGCUAACUCCGUGCCAGCAGCUGCGGUAAUACGGAGGGUGCAAGCGUUACUCGGAAUCACUGGGCGUAAAGGACGCGUAGGCGGGUUGGAAAGUCAGGUGUGAAAUCCUACAGCUUAACUGUAGAACUGCACUUGAAACUUCUAAUCUAGAGUAUGGGAGGGGGAGAUGGAAUUAGUGGUGUAGGGGUAAAAUCCGUAGAUAUCACUAGGAAUACCUAAAGCGAAGGCGAUCUCCUGGAACAUUACUGACGCUAAGGCGUGAAAGCGUGGGGAGCAAACAGGAUUAGAUACCCUGGUAGUC
This 439-nucleotide ribosomal RNA is filed under the name uncultured bacterium. RNAcentral's name for it is "partial 16S ribosomal RNA". It matches the Rfam family "Bacterial small subunit ribosomal RNA", at positions 339 to 795 of the family's 1533-position model. The record is from RNAcentral.